This 632-nucleotide long non-coding RNA is filed under the name Panax ginseng (ginseng). Its description in RNAcentral is "long non-coding RNA (PGIN_LNC015079)". The record is from RNAcentral. Lineage: Eukaryota; Viridiplantae; Streptophyta; Magnoliopsida; Apiales; Araliaceae.
UUCGUUGUAGAAGUGUUAUGUAAAGAGAAUACUUAUAUUCUUUCAGCUUAUAUAUAUAAUUGCUAUUACUUGCUGGGCACUCAAAUGCUCAUCCUUGCUUAAACUAAAUGUUUUCAGUUACGUACGAUCGACCUGAAGGCUCAGGCACGAACAAGGGAAAAGAAAAGCUGUUCGAAUGAGAAUUAGUAUGAGUUAAUGGUUAUAGUUAGUAAGACAAUGGAAUCUAUUGUCAGGUAUUGUAAGGAAUGUAUUUGAAGGUCACGUACCUGGGAAAGUAAACUUUGAUGUAUGUAAAUUAAGUUCGAAUUAUAUUAUUAUUAUUAUUUAGUAUUAUUCAGCUUAAAGAAAUGGUAUCGUGGAGAACCGAGUUCGGGUUUCAAGUAUCCGGAUUUGGGGUCGCCACAGCCUGGCUCGAAUGUUCGAACCAAAAUUUUCAUGUAGUGCCACCUUUUAACUUUUUCUUUGUAUAUCUUGGCGUUCUCAUAGGCAUGUAGGCGAAACUCGUCUAGUUAAUUCAACUGAAGUAGUCUCUUCGCUCCUAUAACCUUUUGAUCAAAAUUUAGCUUUUUUACUGCCCAAUACGCCUUAUGUUGUAGUUCCACCGGUAGAUGACAUGCCUUCCCGUACAACAG